Long non-coding RNA from Musca domestica (house fly), 3440 nucleotides. RefSeq lists it as uncharacterized. The transcript is spliced from 2 exons. The record is from RefSeq and is a predicted model, not a curated record. NCBI's taxonomy places the organism in Eukaryota, Metazoa, Arthropoda, Insecta, Diptera, Muscidae.
UCCAUUCUAAGUCAAAAUCUCCAUUAAUAUUUCAUUUUCGAAAGAUAAAAUCUCCCUUGAAACGGAAUCGCCUUUGCAAGACAAAAUCUCCUACAAAGAUUUUUGACAUAAAAUUCUAGAAUACAUCAAAAACAGUUCAAGGUUAAAUUUAUACUUUGUCUGAGUUUGUGCAAAAAUCUCCAGCAAAGCAGCAUUUUAGAAGGAUAACGUCAAUGGAAAAAUAUUCCUCAUCAAAUUUCACUAUAGAUCAACAAAGAAAAGAAAUCCCUAUAUACAUUAUAUACCAAAAAAAUCUUUGCAUCAAUGUUGUCAAGAAAAAAAAACGCGAAAAUAUUUCCAUAUUUCAUUUUUUGGUUAAGUUCCUCAGCCAUUUUUUCGAGUUGAUGCAUGAAAUUGAAAUAAAACUUCGUUUUAGACAAAAAGUCAUAAAAGAGGAAAUAUUCUACACCAUAUACCUCGGUUUAAUAGUUUUCGAGAAAAUUGCGUUCGAAAUUUAUACAUGCAGGGUGAGUAAAAAAAACUGCAACAAAUUCAACGCCGUAAUUUUUACUUAUUUUCUUAAUUUUUUUAAUUUUUUUUUUUUUUUUGAAUGAAAGCAAAAAAUGUCGGAUAUAACAUCAAAUUUUAGAAUAAGUUUAGAUUUGUUCGGAUUGGUCACCUUUGGCACGAAUUAUGGUCUUCAAACGACUGUUGCUCGGCGGUAUUUUGGCCCAAUCCCGGCGAAGCACUUGCUUGCGGUGAUCGACACUUUGGUAUUUUUUAGUGCUAACCUUGCUUUCCAAAAUACUCCAGACACAAUAGUCCAAAGCAUUGGUAUCCGGAGAUUUUGGUGGCCAUUGUGUGCUGGAAAUGAAGAGAGGAAGCUUAUUUUGUAACCCUUCUUGAGCGGCGCAUGUUGAGUGCGAUGGUGCUGAGUCCUAAUGGAAUGUCCAAGGUCUGCGGGCAAAAUAUUUGCGUGUCCAAGGCUUUAAUACACCCUCCAGAAUAUUUUCGCGACAAUAUUCGGCAUUUAUUCGGGUGCUAAGGUCGAUUAAUACGAGCGGAGAGCGACCUCUUUUUUUCAAAAACUAUUAUACCUAGCUUUAUAGUUUAUUCUGAGACUUAUAGUGAAAUUUGGUGUAGAUUAUUUCCUCUUUUAAAGCUUUGUGUCUAAAACAAUGUUUUAUUACUCUUUCAUGCAACGACUUGAAAUAAAGAGGAAGAAACAACCAGAAAAUAUUUAAAUUUUUGUCGUGUUAUUUGAUAAAAUUUAAACAAAUAUUUCUUUGGUAUAGAAUAGAAAUUGGGAUUCCUUUUCUUUGGUGACUUAUAGUGAAAUUCAAUGAAGAACAUAUUCGUCUUUGGCGUCAUCAUUCUAAGAUGAUGUUUAACAAGAGAAUUUUGCAUAAUCUCACAUGAAGUACGGUUUAAACCCCUAAAAUGUGUUCCAGAAAUAAUAGGAAAUAUUUUCCCGUUUUUCUUGAUAUAUGGAAUGAAAAUAGGGACUUCCUUUCUUUGGUGACUUCGAUGAAAGAAAAUUUUUGAAAUUCGAUGCAGAAUAUUUUUGUUUUUGGCGUCAUCCUUCAAAAAUCAUGGUUUAGAAGAGAAUUUUGCAUAAACUCACAUGAGGUACAACUUUAACCCUAAAAUGUGUUUUUAUACCCCCACCUUGAAAAGGAGGGUAUAUUAAGUUUGUCAUUCCCUUUGUAACAACUCCAAAUAUACAUUUUAGACCCCACAAAGUGUAUAUAUUCUUGAUCAGCAUAAAAUUCUAUGUCGAUUUAGCGUUGUCCGUCCAUCUAUCCGUCUGUCCGUCUGUGGAAAUCACUCUAGCUUCCGAACGAAUUGAAGUAGAUUUAUAAAAUUCUCAAAUAUAUAUUAUAUCUGCAGGACUUUUGGUAUUUAGUAAUGGGCCAUGUAGGUCCACGUUUUGGUAUAGCCCCCAUAUAACGAUACCUUCCCAUAUUCGGUAUUUUGAUCACUUAAGCGACAUUAUUCGCCGGAAUUGUUUCUAAUUUGGUAUUUGAUUUUCGUAGUGUAUUGUCUGUGCAUGUCCAAACCUUCGUAUAGUCCCCUUAUAAUGGUACCUCCCGAUAUUCGGUAUUUGUAUUAUUCUAGCGACAAUAUUCACCCAAAUUGUUUCAAAUUUGGCAUUUGAAGUUCGAAAUGGAUACUACAGCCUAAGGCAGAAAAUCCCUCAUAUAAUGGUACCUCCCGAUAUUCGGUACUUUGAUGAUUUUAGCGACAUUAUUCAUCGGAAUUGUUAUUAAUUUGGUAUUUGAAGUUCGCAAUAGAUACUACAGCCUAUGACAGGACAUUGUCUAUGCAGGUCCACCUCUUCGUGGAGCCCCCAUAUAACGGUACCUCUCGAUUUUCUGUAUUUUGAUGAUUUUAGCGACAUUAUCCACCGGAAUUCUUUCAAUUUUGGUAUCUGAAGUUCGCAAUGGAUAGUACAGCCUAAGACAGAAAAUUGUCUGCGCAGGUCCACGUCUUCGUAUAGCCCCAUAUAACGGUACCUCCCGAUAUUCGGCAUUUUCUCAUUUGAAUAUUGUAAUGGCUUAUGCCAAAAGUUACCUAUCCAGGCCCAUGUCGUCGUAAAGACCCUAAUAUAACAGCUACAUUCGGUAUUUUUAAGAUUUGAACAGAAUUUUUAACGAAUUUUAUUGUUUUUGAGAAUUGCCAAAUUCGUUCCAAAUGGUGGAGGGUAGCGUUUAGAUAACAUUCAUACUUUUGAUAUAUUUUGGCACCUAUAAUGAGAUUUGAUGACAAACAAUUUCGUAGAUUAUUUUGACUUGUUACCGUUUAAUAGAAGUUCUUAACUUUUUUUUUUUUUUUGAAAAAAUAAUUAAAAAUGCCUCUAAUACUUGUAUUGUUGCCAGUAAAAAACUAAAGGCCCUAUUUAUCUAAAAUAUAAGGAUUUCGCGAAAUCUUUAUCCGAAAAUUUCAAAAAAUGUGGAAGAGGAGGGAGAUUUUUACCACCCCUCUAUUUGGCUUAUUAUGCAAUGUAAAAUUUUGAAACUACAUAUCGAACAAAAAAAUGGAAUCGAAAUCGACAUUUGUCGAAAAGUUAAAAUCGUAUCUUAGCUAAUUGAAGGCAAAAAUCGAAAAGUCGACAUUUUUUGAAGACAAAAAUUGAAAUUUCGACUUUUUUGUUGGAAUUCUCCCUUUGAGAGUAUUUUUUGUGCGCAUCAGCUGGCCAUACGCACAGACGGAACGGGACUGAUGGCCAUGGCUACCUUGACCCCCCAUUUUAAUAUGUAGAAAAUUUUUUUUAUCAAAUUGUUUGCUGGGUUAUUUUAAUUCUGUUAUGAUAUUAUGGGGCACUGGGCUCUUGGAACCAUGCAAUAAGGGAUUUACACCAACUUACCACAAAUGGUGUAGGGUAAUGAAAACAUGGUAAAAAACAAAGUUUUAACACAAAAAUGCAAAAUCCAAAAACAACAACAGCAACAACAACCAAA